RNAcentral lists this ribosomal RNA (513 nucleotides) under uncultured bacterium. Its description in RNAcentral is "bacterial SSU rRNA". It matches the Rfam family "Bacterial small subunit ribosomal RNA", at positions 34 to 518 of the family's 1533-position model. The record is from RNAcentral.
CGCUGGCGGCGUGCCUAAUACAUGCAAGUCGAACGGUCUUUCUAUGGAAGCUUGCUUCCACUGAGAAGAUAGUGGCGAACGGGUGAGUAACACGUGGGUAACCUGCCCAUAAGAGGGGGAGUAACAUCCGGAAACGGGUGCUAAUACCGCAUAGUUUUCUUGAUCGCAUGAUUGAGAAAGGAAAGACGGCCUUUGUGCUGUCGCUUAUGGAUGGACCCGCGGCGUAUUAGUUAGUUGGUGAGGUAAUGGCUCACCAAGACGAUGAUACGUAGCCGACCUGAGAGGGUGAUCGGCCACAUUGGGACUGAGACACGGCCCAAACUCCUACGGGAGGCAGCAGUAGGGAAUCUUCCGCAAUGGACGAAAGUCUGACGGAGCAACGCCGCGUGAGUGAAGAAAAGGUUUUCGGAUCGUAAAACUCUGUUGUCAGAGAAGAACAAGUUGGAGAGUAACUGCUCCAGCCUUGACGGUAUCUGACCAGAAAGCCACGGCUAACUACGUGCCAGCAGCGGC